Molecule: ribosomal RNA, 632 nt
Filed under: uncultured bacterium
Lineage: Bacteria
Description: bacterial SSU rRNA
Rfam family: Bacterial small subunit ribosomal RNA
Source: RNAcentral
AAGUCGAACGGGGUAGCAAUACCUAGUGGCGGACGGGUGAGUAACGCGUGAGAAUCCACCUUUAGGAUGGGGACAACAAGAGGAAACUCUUGCUAAUACCCAAUGAGCCGAAAGGUAAAAGUAAUUCGCCUAAAGAGGAGCUCGCGUCCGAUUAGUUAGUUGGUGGGGUAAAGGCCUACCAAGGCAGCGAUCGGUAGCUGGUCUGAGAGGAUGAGCAGCCACACUGGGACUGAGACACGGCCCAGACUCCUACGGGAGGCAGCAGUGGGGAAUUUUCCGCAAUGGGCGAAAGCCUGACGGAGCAAUACCGCGUGAGGGAGGAAGGCUCUUGGGUUGUAAACCUCUUUUCUUAGGGAAGAAACCUGACGGUACCUAAGGAAUCAGCAUCGGCUAACUCCGUGCCAGCAGCCGCGGUAAUACGGAGGAUGCAAGCGUUAUCCGGAAUUAUUGGGCGUAAAGCGUCCGUAGGUGGCAUUUCAAGUCUGCCGUUAAAGCCCGAAGCUUAACUUUGGAAAAGCGGUGGAAACUGAGAAGCUAGAGUGCGGUAGGGGUAGAGGGAAUUCCCAGUGUAGCGGUGAAAUGCGUAGAGAUUGGGGAAGAACACCGGUGGCGAAAGCGCUCUACUGGGCCGC